GACGAACGCUGGCGGCGUGCUUAACACAUGCAAGUCGAGCGGAAAGGCCACUUCGGUGGUACUCGAGCGGCGAACGGGUGAGUAACACGUGAGUAAUCUGCCCCUGGCUUUGGGAUAGCCACCGGAAACGGUGAUUAAUACCGGAUACGACCACUUCUCGCAUGGGAUGGUGGUGGAAAGUUUUUUCGGCCAGGGACGUGCUCGCGGCCUAUCAGCUUGAUGGUGAGGUAAUGGCUCACCAUGGCUUCGACGGGUAGCCGGCCUGAGAGGGUGACCGGUCACACUGGGACUGAGACACGGCCCAGACUCCUACGGGAGGCAGCAGUGGGGAAUAUUGGACAAUGGGCGGAAGCCUGAUCCAGCAACGCCGCGUGGGGGAUGACGGCCUUCGGGUUGUAAACCUCUUUCAGCAGGGACGAAGCGCAAGUGACGGUACCUGCAGAAGAAGCACCGGCCAACUACGUGCCAGCCGCCGCAGUAA
Molecule: ribosomal RNA, 481 nt
Filed under: uncultured bacterium
Lineage: Bacteria
Description: partial 16S ribosomal RNA
Rfam family: Bacterial small subunit ribosomal RNA
Source: RNAcentral